CCUAUGGGGGGCAGCAGGCGCGAAACCUUUACAAUGCACGAAAGUGUGAUAGGGGGAUACUCAGUGCUUACGGUUAUGCUGUAGGCUUUUGUCGAUCGUAAAUAGAUCGGCGAAUAAGUGGUGGGUAAGACUGGUGCCAGCCGCCGCGGUAACCCCAGCGCCACAAGUGGUCAUCGCGAUUAUUGGGCCUAAAGCGUUCGUAGCCGGUUUGGUGCAUCUCUUGUGAAAUUGUUCGGCUUAACCGAACAGCGUGCAGGAGACACGGCCAGACUCGAGACCGGGAGGCGUAUGAAGUAUUCCAUGGGGACUGGUAAAAUGGGAUAAUCCAUGGAAGACUACCGAUGGCGAAGGCAUCAUACGAGAACGGAUCUGACGGUGAGGAACGAAAGCUAGGGGAGCGAACCGGAUUAGAUACCCCCGUAGUCC
Molecule: ribosomal RNA, 426 nt
Filed under: uncultured archaeon
Lineage: Archaea
Description: bacterial SSU rRNA
Rfam family: Archaeal small subunit ribosomal RNA
Source: RNAcentral